Molecule: ribosomal RNA, 253 nt
Filed under: uncultured bacterium
Lineage: Bacteria
Description: partial 16S ribosomal RNA
Rfam family: Bacterial small subunit ribosomal RNA
Source: RNAcentral
UACGGAGGAUCCAAGCGUUAUCCGGAAUCAUUGGGUUUAAAGGGUCCGUAGGCGGUUUAAUAAGUCAGUGGUGAAAGCCCAUCGCUCAACGGUGGAACGGCCAUUGAUACUGUUAAACUUGAAUUAUUAGGAAGUAACUAGAAUAUGUAGUGUAGCGGUGAAAUGCUUAGAGAUUACAUGGAAUACCAAUUGCGAAGGCAGGUUACUACACGAAAAUUGACACUGAGGCACGAAAGCGUGGGGAUCAAACAGG